GGGUGGUAAUGCCGGAUGUUCCACAUGAUCGCAUGUGAUUGUGGGAAAGAUUCUAUCGGCGUGGGAUGGGGUCGCGUCCUAUCAGCUUGUUGGUGAGGUAACGGCUCACCAAGGCUUCGACGGGUAGCCGGCCUGAGAGGGCGACCGGCCACAUUGGGACUGAGAUACGGCCAGACUCCUACGGGAGGCAGCAGUGGGGAAUAUUGCACAAUGGGCGCAAGCUGAUGCAGCGACGCCGCGUGAGGGAUGGAGGCCUUCGGGUUGUAAACCUCUUUUGUUUGGGAGCAAGCCUUCGGGUGAGUGUACCUUUCGAAUAAGCGCCGGCUAACUACGUGCCAGCAGCCGCGGUAAU
Molecule: ribosomal RNA, 352 nt
Filed under: Bifidobacterium bifidum
Lineage: Bacteria; Bacillati; Actinomycetota; Actinomycetes; Bifidobacteriales; Bifidobacteriaceae
Description: bacterial SSU rRNA
Rfam family: Bacterial small subunit ribosomal RNA
Source: RNAcentral